This 372-nucleotide ribosomal RNA is filed under the name uncultured organism. RNAcentral describes it as "bacterial SSU rRNA". It matches the Rfam family "Bacterial small subunit ribosomal RNA", at positions 526 to 896 of the family's 1533-position model. The record is from RNAcentral.
CGGAGGGUGCGAGCGUUGUCCGGAAUCACUGGGCGUAAAGGGCGCGUAGGUGGUUUGGUAAGUGUGUGGUGAAAGCCCGGGGCUCAACCCCGGGUCUGCCGCGCAAACUGCCGAACUUGAGCACACUAGAGGCAGGUAGAAUUCCGGGUGUAGCGGUGGAAUGCGUAGAGAUCCGGAAGAAGACCGGUGGCGAAGGCGGCCUGCUGGGGUGGAGCUGACACUGAGGCGCGACAGCGUGGGGAGCAAACAGGAUUAGAUACCCUGGUAGUCCACGCCGUAAACGAUGGGUACUAGGUGCUUGGGGGAGCGACCCCUUGAGUGCCGGCGCUAACGCAUGAAGUACCCCGCCUGGGGAGUACGGCCGCAAGGCUG